AUACGUAGGGGGCGAGCGUUGUCCGGAAUGAUUGGGCGUAAAGGGCGCGUAGGCGGCCCGGUAAGUCUGGAGUGAAAGUCCUGUUUUUAAGAUGGGAAUUGCUUUGGAUACUGUCGGGCUUGAGUGCAGGAGAGGUAAGUGGAAUUCCCAGUGUAGCGGUGAAAUGCGUAGAGAUUGGGAGGAACACCAGUGGCGAAGGCGACUUACUGGACGGUAACUGACGCUGAGGCGCGAAAGUGUGGGGAGCAAACAGGAUGAGAUACCCUAGUAGUCCACGCCGUAAACGAUGAGUACUAAGUGUCGGGUAACCGGUGCUGAAGUUAACACAUUAAGUACUCCGCCUGAGUAGUACGGUCGCAAGGCUGAAACUCAAAUGAAUUGACGGGG
This 387-nucleotide ribosomal RNA is filed under the name uncultured bacterium. RNAcentral describes it as "partial 16S ribosomal RNA". It matches the Rfam family "Bacterial small subunit ribosomal RNA", at positions 523 to 918 of the family's 1533-position model. The record is from RNAcentral.